AUGUAUUUAUUUUGUCUUGCUUUAUAUUCUUUAUUUUUCAGUGCCAGUGCCUGCCAUCUUACAAACUUCCGCUCAUGUGUCAGCUGUUGCCAGACCCCAGUGAAUCUGGCUGCCAGGCAUCUCCUGCCAGAGCCUAACUUUUCAGCACACUUCCGUCUAGAGCACCUGAGGCAAACUGGCCCAGAACCAAACUCGUGUGAUGGGUUUGGCUCCCACGUACAGAAGCAUUUCUGAAGCCACCCUCAACCUACUUCAAGCAUUGGUUCAUUAGACAAGGUGAUUGAAAUCUAGCAAGUACGUUCAGUGCACCUAAACACCCCACAACCUGUUCAUUUCAAGAGCAGCUUUUCAAAGGUGGGAAGUUUUAACUUGGUAAGAGACUUGUAACAGACCCUGCAGGGUCUCAUUACAGAAUAAGUCUUGGUUUUGUUGUAGCUGUAACAGAACUUGAUUUGUACCUAAGCUUUCCUGUUGGACCUGUUUUCUGGAAGCUGCUCAGAAACAGCUCAACAGUGUAUCUGUUAAGAGCUUUUUAUGCUGCUAGAGCACCAGGUUUGUUUAACUAAAUUUCAGAACAUUUUAAAAAAAAUCUUUGAAUUAGAUGGAAAAUAGUUUCCAUUUCUUAGCAAAAAGACAAAAUGGGAAAUUAUAUCCUUUUGUAUGUACUCAAGUGCUUCUAAGCAGCACGUUACACUGCUUGCAUAAUGUCCUAAUAAUCGUCCUAAAUCUGUCAGAAGGAAAGAUACACCUAAAAACCUGCAAAGUGGUGAUGCUCCCACCCCCACCAUCAGGUGGUUAAAAAGGCAUUUAUGUCCUGUAGUUAGAAACAAUUUUAUCCUACUACAACUCUCUCUCUUUGCUUGUUAUGGUACUUCUAAUACGUCAGUCCCAUUUGGGAAAGGAAAGGAGAAUGUUUUCUACUGCUUACAGCUUACAAAACAGUAGAACAACAUUGUUUUCAGGAUACUUUGUGUUCUCACAGUGAUUUCCACCUUCCUACUUCACUGGGUCUCAGUCUCCUGCUCUGAAGAUACAUGUCCAAUGAAUUAGUAGAGUAAAACAUCCUUUACUAAAACUUUUUCCUUUCCUUUAACAUAUUAGUCACCUUAUGAGCAUGAACACUUUUUCUAGCCAAGUCAAAAUUCCCUAUAUUUGAGAAAAAAAAAAUCUAUUAUAUCUUUCCUUGCACUUUUAUAAGUAAAUAUUAUCUUUCUCAAACACCAACUUAAAUCGCUUUUUCUUUGUUGGCCUCUCCAAGGUAUUCACAUCCAAACAUGAUUAUAUGGCCGUAUCUGCUAGUUCUUUUGGGAAACAGCUAUACAGAUUUGAUGUACUGGGGGUUUACAACACCACUAUACUUUACCUGAAUGCAAUUAAUUGGGGGGGGUGGGGGGGGUGGGUUGGGGAGCAGAAGUGAAGGGGACAAUUGCUUUGGUGCAAUGCAGUAGUGUCUGAGAAUACAAUCUCAUUGAAAUGAUGGAAACUUAAGAAAAGUUUUAUAAAGAUGAUCUGAACUGAGGUUGUUUAUGGCAUAGAUAAGGCCAUGUAUCUUUCGCAAACAUGAGACCAUAGAAAAUUCCUCAGCUACUAUGAUAGUUAAGAGGAUUUUUCUUAAUAAUCUGACUACAACACAUUUUCCUUCAUUGAGACUUAUCUCAAAGUCAGUUGAAGAAUUUUUUUGAUUAAAAGAAAAAAUACAAAUGCAUUUUUUAGCUGGCUAUCUAAGGAGGGAAUGUGGGGGAAAAAAAUCAGCUGCACUGCAACUUCUCUUGAGAAAACAAUUGGACUCCAGAACUAUUAGAAUGUCAUGCUUUGUAAAUCACUAAGCUAUUUAAUAGAAGUUCACACUCUUCAAUAAAAGGUACUCAGCUUGAACUGUCAAAUUAUGUGGUGUUGCUGUGGGGUUUUGGUUUUUUUUUUGAACUUAAAACUUCAGGCUCGGUGAAGCAUUUGCCUAGACUGAAUGUGCAAGGUGCCAUGGAUUAACAACACGGACCCAUAUGGAAUGUGUUUGAAGUUUUCAAGAAGUUAUCCUGCCAGCCUUCAUUCCUUAAUGACCUUUGAUACACCUUGGAUAGUGGAAAGGCAGUUCAGAAUCAUAUCUUGUGAUCAUAUGAUUUGGCAGCUAUCAGAAGAUGAAGGAUGCUAGAAGUUAAGGCUUUUAUCCACAAACAAUGGUGUAUAUUAAUAAACUCUAUACCAUAUUUACAAAUGCUUUCUCUUGUAUUAAAACUAACAGUAUUCUGUUCACAGUGCCAAUGUUUUUACAGGUAGCAAUCCCACAGUACUCCAGUAUUUUGGCAUGGGAAUCAGUAGCGCUUUGUAUUUACAGAAAAUGUACAUAUAUGAUUAUAAACAUGUUACUUGAAACAGUACUCAAAAGAUAGAUCUGUUCAUGUUUCAAAGGUUUAGACUGUACAACACCUUCCCUUUUGGCUGCGAGGGAAUACUGCUCCUUGCAAUGAGAAGAUGCCCGUCUUUUCCAAAGUGGCAUAAAAAU
This is a long non-coding RNA of Falco tinnunculus (common kestrel), 2500 nucleotides long. Lineage: Eukaryota; Metazoa; Chordata; Aves; Falconiformes; Falconidae. The record is from Ensembl.